GUACACUUGUGAAAGAGUGAAAAGGAGCAAAUAACGCCUUAGUAUGAUUAUGAAAAACGUUUUGACUUCACAGUGCCCUGAAUGGGUCUCGGGAACCUCCAGGGAUCCCUCAGGCACACUUUGAGAACCAAUCUAUAUAAAGUGAUGGUUCACAAUGAUUCUCAAGCCUUAGUUUCAGAAUCAUUUGGGGCAGCUUUUCAAAAAUGCUAUUCCUGCCACCUACCACAAGGAUUCUGAUUCAUUGUGUCUGUGAUGGGUCUCAGAUCUCUGCAUUUUUAAUCUUACGUGAUUCUUAAGUAUGAGGUAGAAGUACCUUUCUUCAGGAAAUUCUGUUCUAAGCUUUUACCCUGAGAAAAUAAAACCUGCAUGCUUUCACCAGGGACAGUGGAAGACUCCACUGAAACAGAUCUGCUAGACCACUAAGUUUAUCCUUGUCACCCAGUUUGCUCUUGGAAAGAGUCUGUUACCUUUUGUCGCUGAACCAAUCAUGACAUAAACUUGUGCUUUACCUCCUGUAGCACAGCCAAGACAAGGCUGGAACAUUUAAUUAAGGUUUUUACUAAGGACUCAGGAAUAGCAACAGGGAAAUAUCUAUGUAACUAAAUGACCUGACAUAAAAUCUAUCUUCUGAUUACAGUCUAUUGUGAGAAUGCUGCUUUUCCUAGCUCCCAGCCUGCCUUAGGGCAGAAGGCUGUCUUUUUAUUAGGAAAAGAGGGAGGACAAAGGAGAGCCUUUUCCUUUUGUCCGUUACUCUUAGAAAUGAAUAGGUACAUAAUAGAAAAUAAAUAUUUAUUGUUGGUAAUGUUUACACAGCAAUGUUAGAGCCUCUCUGUAGUGAAACAAAAAUAAUAUUCUUACCAAAAAUUAAAAAUUAAAAAAUGAGGCAAUGGUAAAAAUCAAUGAACUUAUCUUUCUGAUAUAGAAAAUAACACGAUGAUUGUUAAUACGUGUUCAGGAAUCUAAGAAAAUGUUUCAUACAGGCCUAUCAUGUAGCAUUUUUAUUUGCAUAAUUAUGGUCAACAUAUGAUUCUCCAUAUAGGGGUCUCAUUGAGCAUGUUUCUUGUGUACCAAUAGAAAAGCCUCUUUGGUAGAUUUUCCGGUUUAUAAUUAUUUAACCAGAAGAUACACAGGAGGUUCUAUUGUAUGUACCUGUAGAAUACAUCCCAGUAAGGGUCCUAUGGAGAAAGACCUGUCGUCAGCAAUAACCUUCAUUAUUCUAACUGUGAAACGUUCAUUAAUGUGAAUAAUAUUCUCAAAGGUUCUCUACAAUGAGAAUCAUCCAGUAAAGCUUUUUACCUGACAAUUUAAAAGUUGUAAAGUUGUUAGUUAAAUAUGUAGAAUUAUCAAAAGAGAUUGACUUUGGAAAACAAACUGAAUUUGCUAAGGGAAGGAAAACUUGAAAAUAAUCAUCUUAGAUGUGGAAUACAAUUUGACCUAAGCAAUUGUUUCAAAACUGUCUUCAGUUUCUUGAAAAAAAUUGUUAGGGAUGAUAUAUAGAAAUACAUAUCUAGGCCAGGCACGGUGGCUUAUGCCUGCAGUCCCAGCCCUUUGGGAGGCCGAAGUGGAUGGAUCACGAGAUCAAGAGAUCGAGACCAUCCUGGUCAACAUGGUGAAACCCUGUCUCUACUAAAAAUACAAAAAUCAGCUGGGCGUAGUGGUGCGUGCCUGUAGUCCCAGCUACUCAGGAGGCUGAGGCAGGAGAAUCACUUGAGCGCCGGAGGCAGAGGGUGCAGUGAGCCGAGAUCGCGCCACUGCACUCCAGCCUGGGCAACAGAGCAAGACUCGUCGCAAAAAAAAAAGAAAAAAGAAAUACAUAUCUAAUGUUACAGAUUCUGGUUUAUUGGUUAAUUACUAUGCAUUUUUUUCCGUUUAAAAAAUAAUCUUAUUUUAUAUACUUCUCUCAGUAUAAUUUUUCAUGACAUUUCAGCAUGUUGAUAAUAUGUGUGCAUCUAUUUCAGUGCCUUAAAGUAUUUUCAGAGCAAUCUUUUGCUGACAGUUAAAGAACUGUUAAGAAUGAAAUACUGUUCAUUAAAAGGAUCUGUGAAAUCAUUUACCCUUGUUAUAAAAUAGUUAUAUGCAAA
Mandrillus leucophaeus (drill) is the source of this 2081-nucleotide long non-coding RNA. RefSeq lists it as uncharacterized. NCBI's taxonomy places the organism in Eukaryota, Metazoa, Chordata, Mammalia, Primates, Cercopithecidae. The transcript is spliced from 2 exons. The record is from RefSeq and is a predicted model, not a curated record.